Molecule: ribosomal RNA, 1032 nt
Filed under: Triticum aestivum (bread wheat)
Lineage: Eukaryota; Viridiplantae; Streptophyta; Magnoliopsida; Poales; Poaceae
Description: partial small subunit ribosomal RNA
Source: RNAcentral
AUGCUGGCUGACUUGUGCAUGGUAUCAGACGGCGAUGGGCCCGAACCGGCACCACAGAGCGAAGAGCGCCGCGGCGAUGGCGGCUCUGCAGAUCGUGCCGGCUACUGCCCGGCAGCGGCUGCCGCCUGUGGCGACCGCGCCGGCGCCGGCGGUCUUCUCUUCUUCUUCUUCCUCAACUUUAAUGGGCAGCUCAUCCGCUGGCGUCUCGUGCUCCUCAUGACCGCUGCUGAUCUGCACCACGCCGUCGUCGUCCACGGUGGCCGCCUGCUCGCUGUCAUCGAUGACACGUUUUUUCUUAUUCUUCUUGCUCUUCUUGCCACGUUUUGCCCGCUUGGCGCCACCAGCGCCGUGGCCGGGGUCAUCGUCGCGGAGGGCAGCCCACAUGUUGGCGCCGCCGACCGUUGUGCCUCCCGCCACGGCCGCCGUGCUCGUCCGACUUGCCACCGUGGUGACCACGUCAAUGAACUCUUCUUUCUCUUCCUCUUUACUCGUCUCUUCUUCCGCUGCUUCUUCCUCUUGUUUACUGGUCGCCUCCUCUUCUUCUUCGAUCGGCGACACGGCCGCCGUCUCCUCCUCCUCGCGACCGUCGGUUACCUCCUCCUCGCCGUCCGGCACGGUGACGGUGGCCUGCUUGUUUUCCGCAGCAACGUCGGUCUGCACCUUGCUGCCGUCGUCCACGAUAGCAGCCGGCGCCGUCUCGUUCUCCUCGCGACCGUCGGUUACCUCCUCCUCGCCGUCCGGCACGGUGAUGGUGGCCUGCUUGUCUUCCGCGGCGCCGUUGGCCUGCACCCUGCGGCCGUCGUCCACGAUAGCAGCCGGCGCCGUCUCGUGCUGCUCGGCGGCGCUAGCAGUGGGUGGUGUCUCCUCUACGUCAACGACGCCGGCGACCUUUCCGUGCUCUCGGCCGUCGACGCCAUCGGCGCUGUGGCCAGGGCCAUUGUCACAGAGGAAAUCCCACAUGUCGGUCCCGCCGACUGUGAUGACUCCCGCCACGGCCGCCUUGACCGUCGGGCAGCGGACACCACCCACUAG